Molecule: non-coding RNA, 73 nt
Organism: Diplonema papillatum
Lineage: Eukaryota; Euglenozoa; Diplonemea; Diplonemida; Diplonemidae
Source: the annotation of a GenBank genome assembly
GCCCGAGUGGCUCAAUGGCGAGAGCGCUUGACUACGAAUCAAGCGGUUGUGGGUUCGAGUCCCACCUCGGGUG